This 253-nucleotide ribosomal RNA is filed under the name uncultured bacterium. Its description in RNAcentral is "partial 16S ribosomal RNA". It matches the Rfam family "Bacterial small subunit ribosomal RNA", at positions 524 to 776 of the family's 1533-position model. The record is from RNAcentral.
UACAGAGGUCCCUAGCGUUGCUCGGAAUCACUGGGCGUAAAGCGCACGUAGGCGGAUUGCUAAGUCAGGGGUGAAAUCCUGGAGCUCAACUCCAGAACUGCCUUUGAUACUGGAGAGCUCGAGUCCGGGAGAGGUGAGUGGAACUGCGAGUGUAGAGGUGAAAUUCGUAGAUAUUCGCAAGAACACCAGUGGCGAAGGCGGCUCACUGGCCCGGUACUGACGCUGAGGUGCGAAAGCGUGGGGAGCAAACAGG